ACGAAAUGGAUGGCAUGUGAUCACAACCAGUUGAAGAGGCAAGGCUGAGUUUUGUUUGAGGAUGACUUACGAGGGACCGGAGGACAUGGGGCAGCAGUAGAGGGUUCUCUUUUGGUUUCCGAUGGCACAAAAGCAAAAAGCUGAAAACCUUUGUGAGGGUAGUGGAUUGCCUUUUGAAGUUAUGAAUUGAUUACUGCACAGAUUGUGGGGGCGAGGUGGUGUCCAAGGCAACCCUUUUAUCGGAGGGGACACACCCUUUAUCAACAAUUUGGUG
RNAcentral lists this long non-coding RNA (274 nucleotides) under Populus trichocarpa (black cottonwood). Its description in RNAcentral is "long non-coding RNA (PTRI_LNC003644)". Lineage: Eukaryota; Viridiplantae; Streptophyta; Magnoliopsida; Malpighiales; Salicaceae. The record is from RNAcentral.